AAAUCAUUUCGUCUCGCAAUUCGCCAUGGAAACUGAAAAUUUCGAAGCUUCAGUAGCUGAACUCAUCGGCGGUGCCUGAGAAUGUCGCUCGGCGGUGAGAAGCGCUUGCGGCUUAGCCGGCUCGUCGAUCAUUGUCUUCAUCCUUUCACAGAAGAAGAUGGUGUGGUGUUGGAGAGCAAAGGGAAGGAAAAGGAACUGCUUAUUGCGCUCUCUCAUGUUGUAACUGAAGUUCAGCGCUGGGCUCGAGAAAUUGAUGGCGACUCUGAUAAUGAAGCGAUUCAAAUGAAGAACUCUCAUGAGAAAAGCAGUGAUGAGCAGGACCAAUCUUUGGAGAGCCACCAUUAUAUGACGAAGAUUGUUUCUGAAUUGGUACCUUUACUUGCUUUUGAGAAUAAGUAUGUCAAACAUCUUGUAGCCAAUGUACUAACAGCAGUUACAAAAUUUAUAUUUCUAACUGGAAGCGCAAGCGACUGGUAUGAAUUAGUACACUCGUUAUGUUUUGGCAUGGAGUUAGUGCUUGCCAGAAUCAUAUCUUCUCCUGCACCUUCAAACGCUGGGUCUGACAAUUUAGAUUGUUACUUAUCAAUCUUACUACCUAAGCUGAAAAAUGCCAAUUUUUCCACGGUUGCUGGUCUUCUUCAAGUUUUGCGAAAUACCUUGAAAUUCUUGAAGCAAGAGCAAAGUGAUUUUAUUGGGGAGUUGUUUGAUUCUGUUAAUUCUUGUCUUUCAAAGAUUCCUUGGGAUUUAUUAGGUAGGAUCCUCACAGAGAAAAGUUGUAACAUUGUAGAAAUCCAGAGCAACGAUGACAUGCGUUCUAAUAAUUUGCAUCGGAGGCAAGGAUUAAAAUUUCUGUUCCUAGGAAAUUUUGUUCAAUUUCUCUGUUCCUUGGCUGAGCAGAGUGACUUUGAGGAAGCUUCAUGUGGUUCAUUUAAGAGUCACCCCCUACUUGGUACAAUCAUCAACCUGAUUCCUAACCUUUUUGAUUGGUGCCUUAACAACCAAGUAGAUCACUUUGAUAGGUGCUUGUCCCGAUAUUUCAGUCACAAGUUGCUGAUAUUAAUGAUCAGGCUUAGUUUCCAUUGCCAUCUUCAGUGUUCCACUCUUGUUAUAUGGUUGCAACUUUGCAGAAAGCGUUUCCAAAACCUCUUGUUGCUUCCAAAGCUUGAGCUGGAAUCUUCCUCUGAUACUUCACUUGAAGAUUCUCCAUUGAUCGUGAGCUAUUUUGGUGACAAAUGCAGUCCAUGUUCCUUGCAUCUGCGAAGACUAGCUGUUUUUCUAUUCCUCAGGUGUUCCUUAAGCUUCACAUGUAAACAAACAACUGAAAAGUGUGAUCCGUCUACCUUUCUUGCUACAAGUGAUGACUGCACUUGUAGCAAGAAAGGUAUACUGGAGCUUUAUAAGUGGCUUCUCGGGAACCUUCCAACAAAUAUUUUUCUGGAUACUAAUAUGUAUGCAAAAAACUGCACCAAGUUUGCAUCAUCGUUUCUCCAGCUAUAUAUGCACGAGGAUGAUUUAUUAUUCAAAGUGCUGUUGCAACUUCUUCAGCUGCCUUCUCAUAGAGAGCCAUGUUCUUGUGAAGGACCAUCCCAGGAGGUGAAGGAAGAUAUACUUUUUCAUGUUUCAAACAUUUUUGAUCCUCAGCACAUGUUCCACAUUUUUCUUAAGGAGUUAAACUAUGAUCAUGAAAUGCUCUUAGAUUACCUCGUGUCAAAAGAUGCAGGAACAUGUUGUUUGGAAUACCUGCUAAGAUGCCUGCAUAUAAUAAAUGAUUCCAGGCAUGCGCUAGUGGAUUCAUCAGGCAAGAGAAGAAAGGUUAUGCUGAAUAGCUCAACUAUUUCAGAAGAGCGAUUGUCUGGUUCACCCAAGCGAAGCAAGGAAACACUUCCAUCCUUUGAGGACACUGGAAAUUGUGAUUAUGGCUACAAGCCUCAAAGAGUUGGGGUAGAAUCCCUGAAAAAAUCUAAAAAUUGUUUGCACUUAUUGAAAACAUCCUUGGAAAAUCUUCACAGAGAGAAUCUCUUUCCAUACAAUCCCAAAGUGCUCAUAAAACGGUAUGCAUGUCUGCACGAUGCUUUAUUGAUUUGACGAAAUUUUUGGAGCUUCCCAUUGGAGAUUAAGUAAUUAAGAGUCGUCCAGCCCCAUGCAGAGGUCCUCUUCUUGAAGCAUGGAGGAGCUCCCAUUUUGAUAUAAUCCUCAAGCUUGGAGAUCCUUUCAAUCUAAAAGCUUCACUUUCGAGUUUUUUAAAUAAGACUACUAAGGGUUUGAUGAAAUGACUUAUAUUCAAGCUAUCUCCUUCCUGACAUGGAGCUCUUGAGAGUGAAUCAUCAAUUGAGGCUUCGAAAUCAAUAGUAGAAUUUCCCAAUUUGGUUUUGACGUCGAUUUGGAGUUGAAAUGAGCGAAAACGAAGUCAAGUUGCAUCAACUGGAGGCAAAGGAGCAAAAGAGGCUUAUAUGCCCUCUGCCCUACAGCGUCUUGGCACUCUGAAGUUUGUUCAUGCAACAAUUCUCGUCAAUGCCAUGAUGCUGUCCCUAGCUCCAUGUAGUCGUUACGUUUAUUUAAAAACAUGUUUUUGCCACCCAAUCGACCCAUCUCCAAUUCCGACUGCUUUUGGAUGUCUUCCUCCUACGUUAUGAGUUCUUUUUAUGACUUUUAUGCACUUUAUCAUUUUCUCGUUAUUCAACGUGUGGAUGAGAGACUAAGAUACUCAUUUUUAGCUUGAGUCACUAAGAUAAUUUCUCUAUUUCUUUGUACUGGUAAGACUUGAAUUAACUUUUAUAUUGUCAGUUUUCUAAUGAACAUUGAUCAUAUUUUCGGA
This is an RNA transcript of Cucumis melo (muskmelon), 2815 nucleotides long. RefSeq lists it as uncharacterized. The transcript is spliced from 13 exons. Lineage: Eukaryota; Viridiplantae; Streptophyta; Magnoliopsida; Cucurbitales; Cucurbitaceae. The record is from RefSeq and is a predicted model, not a curated record.